This 1108-nucleotide unclassified non-coding RNA is filed under the name Hevea brasiliensis (rubber tree). Lineage: Eukaryota; Viridiplantae; Streptophyta; Magnoliopsida; Malpighiales; Euphorbiaceae. The record is from RNAcentral.
CGGACAGAAAAACAGUUAUGAACUUAAUAUAACAAGCUUAAUUCUUCAUAGUUCACUGCCAGAAAAGGAAGUACACCAAGCAAAAAAAAAAUACAUGUCCACUUAAUUAACAUACAAUAUUCAAGAGUCUUAGCUCAUGCAACAAGUAAUUAAUAAUAUGGUAUACAUACUUAAGUUCCAUCAAUCUUCAAGCUUAAUAGCAGUCUUCUUUUGUGGAUUAUAUGUAGAUCACAUCAGAAAGAAGACAAUCUCUCAAGCACAUUAGACUAGUUGAAUAGGGGGUUGGUCUUGUCUAGGGUAAUGGUUGUUGGUUUGCAAUCCAUUAACUUGUAGAUAGUUUCGAGUAUCGAAUUGCUGAGGUGGAGGCACAAGCUCAUGAUAGUUUGAUGAACUCCCUGGCAUCAAGUUCAUCUGCUGAUGCUGAUGCUGAGCUCUCUCAGUUUCAGCAAUCUUUGCUCUCAGGUACUGAUUGUUGUUGUGUAAAUCAACUUCCCUCUUCUGCAUAUACUCAAUUUCAGCAAACAACAGCUCAUUCUUUUUGGAUCGGAUUUUGCUAAUCCCUUUUUCAAUUCUUUGCUCCAGAUUCUUCAGUUCUUUGAGUUUCAUUCCAGCAAGAGCUUCACCCAUCAUGUUCCUGUUUUGGUUCAUCAGAUUUCCAAUUUGUGCGCGCAGUUUGGAGGCUUCUUGCUGGUAAUACUGAGCAUUGGCCUCGGAUACUGAACCAGUAUUUGAGGAAUCUGAGCAUGCUUUCUUGUACCUCUCGAUUGUUGCUUUCACACUGUUGUUGGCAUACUCAUAGAGUCUGCCUCUGUUUGAGAAGACAACCAAAGCAACCUCAGCAUCACAGAGCACAGACAAUUCAUAAGCCUUUUUAAGCAAACCAUUGCGCCUCUUGCAGAAUGUUACUUGUCGAUUCGUCGUGUUUUCGAUCCUUUUGAUCUCAAUUUUCCCCCUUCCUAGUUUCCUUUGUGGUGAGAUCUCUCUGGUUAGAUCACUUUGGAAGUCCAUUACUUCACCUUGUAAGGAAAGGAAAGAGAAGAUUUUUAAGUUUUUUGGUUGCAAAUUAGUAUAUAAUAUAUGAAGAGGAUUUUGUAGAUGCAGAAAAUGG